CAGCCGCCGCGGGAAUACGUAGGGUGCAAGCGUUAAUCGGAAUUACUGGGCGUAAAGCGUGCGCAGGCGGUUAUAUAAGACAGAUGUGAAAUCCCCGGGCUCAACCUGGGAACUGCAUUUGUGACUGUAUAGCUAGAGUACGGCAGAGGGGGAUGGAAUUCCGCGUGUAGCAGUGAAAUGCGUAGAUAUGCGGAGGAACACCGAUGGCGAAGGCAAUCCCCUGGGCCUGUACUGACGCUCAUGCACGAAAGCGUGGGGAGCAAACAGGAUUAGAGACCCCAGUAGUCCCUGUCUCUUAUAC
This 301-nucleotide ribosomal RNA is filed under the name uncultured bacterium. RNAcentral describes it as "partial 16S ribosomal RNA". It matches the Rfam family "Bacterial small subunit ribosomal RNA", at positions 509 to 807 of the family's 1533-position model. The record is from RNAcentral.